UUGGAGGGCAAGUCUGGUGCCAGCAGCCGCGGUAAUUCCAGCUCCAAUAGCGUAUAUUAAAGUUGUUGCAGUUAAAAAGCUCGUAGUUGAAUUUCGGGGUUCUACCGUCGGUCGGGCUACCAAGUCUGUACUGGUGUGUAGAAUUCCUACCUUCUGGGGAACCAUCAUGUUAUUAAUUUAGCGUGGUGGGAAACCAGGACCUUUACCUUGAAAAAAUUAGAAUAUUCAAAGCAAACUUAUGUCUAAAUACAUUAGCAUGGAAUAAUAGAAUAGGACGGUGGUCCUGUUUUGUUGGUUUCUGAAUCACCGUAAUGAUUAAUAGGGAUAGUUGGGGGCAUUAGUAUUCAAUUGUCAGAGGUGAAAUUCUUGGAUUUAUUGAAGACUAACUUCUGCGAAAGCAUUUGCCAAGGAUGUUUUCAUUAAUCAAGAACGAAAGUUAGGGGAUCGAAGACGAUCAGAUACCGUCGUAGUCUUAACCAUAAACUAUGCCGACUAGGGAUCGGACGAUGUUAACUUUUAUUGACUCGUUCGGCGCCUUACGGGAAA
Molecule: ribosomal RNA, 546 nt
Filed under: uncultured Glomeromycotina
Lineage: Eukaryota; Fungi; Glomeromycota
Description: SSU rRNA
Rfam family: Eukaryotic small subunit ribosomal RNA
Source: RNAcentral